Molecule: long non-coding RNA, 208 nt
Organism: Glycine soja
Lineage: Eukaryota; Viridiplantae; Streptophyta; Magnoliopsida; Fabales; Fabaceae
Exons: 2
Source: RefSeq, a predicted model, not a curated record
UUUCUAUUAUAAGCAUUUUUAGAUAUAAAAAUUGCUAAUCACUUUUAAACUUUUUUCUUUCUCUCUUACUCUCAAGUUGAUAGGUGAGAUUGUUAUGUGAUCGCUUCCUUACUCACACGUACGUUUCAUUCUUCAGGUUAUAAAUGAGUCUAUAAAUGUGAGAAUCCAACACUUAAAGGAUUUAUCGUAUGAUCCUAUAAGUUACGUU